ACGAACGCUGGCGGCGUGCUUAACACAUGCCAGUCGAACGGAAAGGCCCUGCUUUUGUGGGGUGCUCGAGUGGCGAACGGGUGAGUAACACGUGAGUAACCUGCCCUUGACUUUGGGAUAACUUCAGGAAACUGGGGCUAAUACCGGAUAGGAGCUCCUGUUGCAUGGUGGGGGUUGGAAAGUUUCGGCGGUUGGGGAUGGACUCGCGGCUUAUCAGCUUGUUGGUGGGGUAGUGGCUUACCAAGGCUUUGACGGGUAGCCGGCCUGAGAGGGUGACCGGCCACAUUGGGACUGAGAUACGGCCCAGACUCCUACGGGAGGCAGCAGUGGGGAAUAUUGCACAAUGGGCGGAAGCCUGAUGCAGCAACGCCGCGUGCGGGAUGACGGCCUUCGGGUUGUAAACCGCUUUCGCCUGUGACGAAGCGUGAGUGACGGUAAUGGGUAAAGAAGCACCGGCUAACUACGUG
This 467-nucleotide ribosomal RNA is filed under the name uncultured bacterium. RNAcentral's name for it is "partial 16S ribosomal RNA". It matches the Rfam family "Bacterial small subunit ribosomal RNA", at positions 29 to 507 of the family's 1533-position model. The record is from RNAcentral.